GUUGAUGUAUAUUUUUGGAUGUGUUUUUACUAGUUUUAUCUUUUGAGUAAUAUGUUGUUAGAGUCACCAACCGUCUCUAGAGCAAGUGGCAAAGAAUUUGGUGGUUGGUACCCGAGACCCAAGUUCGAAUCCUAGUUGAUUUACAUUUCUAACUAAGUUUAUUUCUAAAUGAAAUAAACGAAACGGGUAGCGUGUUAUCUAUCUCUCAAAAAAAAUAUGUUGUUAGAGUCAAUUUUAAAUUAUUUUGUUUCAAUACAAUUGGUUAAAUCUUUAUCUCCUACCCCAUCUAUUAUACAUGCGAAUAAAAGUGUUACA
This 315-nucleotide long non-coding RNA is filed under the name Ananas comosus (pineapple). RNAcentral's name for it is "long non-coding RNA (ACOM_LNC004395)". The record is from RNAcentral. Lineage: Eukaryota; Viridiplantae; Streptophyta; Magnoliopsida; Poales; Bromeliaceae.